UCACUCAACUCUAACUCACCUCAGCCACUUCAACUAUUCAUGGUUUGGAUACUAGUAUUUGGACUUUUUCUCCACAUAGGAAGGGAGCCCAAAAACCCAACACUUCCUACCUUUUUCAACAUUUGAAGUGAAAUAAUUGUACUAUUAUAUUUGUUUGCUUGGACUUCUUAUCAUUAGGUGCAGUCUCAGUUGUCUAGUAGAAAAAUGUAGAAAAUAUUAUGGUACAUAUGACACUUCUAAUAUAGAAUGUGAAAAAAAUGGAUUAGAUAUCUCUGAUGUUAUUUUGGAGAUGCAUAGUUGUUGAAGAUGGAAAUUCUUUUUUCUGUUUGAGAAUUCACUUCCUCAGUUUUCAGGUUGCUUGAUUGCUGAAGCUAGAAAUACAUUGAUGUUCUUGAUCUUCAGCAAUCGGCUAUCUUAUUGAAAAUGAAUUGUACAAAAUUGUCUAUCAAUGCUGUCUUGCAGUUUCCUUUUUCCCAUUGCUUUCACAGAUACUAAUUGAAGUUAUGUUUAUCAUCCAGGACUGCAUGUUCGAGGAGAGUGUUUGCCUACUACUUAGGGCUGCAUGGUUUCAACCUCUGAAGGUCGAAAAUCACGUGGAGCAUGAAGAUGCCUAAGAUCCUAUUGAAGAUUUUUAUCAUUAUCAAUAUGAUUAUGAGUAUGAUGACGAGGAUGAUGAAACUUCCAGGAUCCAGGAGGUGCAAGUUCAUCAUCUCGCCAGCCAAAAAAGAAAGAGGCAGCUGAAAAAGUCGCAACAGGUAGACGGGCAAAGAGGGCAUUGAAGCGGGAGGCUGCUGAUAAGGCUGCAGCAGCAAAGCAUCAGCAGCAUCUAGGGGAGGUUGGGCAGGAAGUAAUGCAAUACUUAUGCUGAAGUCAUACCAACUCAAGCCAGGCCUUGAGUACUCUCCUUUCCUUAAAAAAAAGGGUAUUUUUUACUUUUUUUUUUCAAUCUUGUACGGUGUUUAUUUAUUGAACUAGUGUACUAUAAUAUGGGGGGUAAAAAUGAUAGACAAUAAUGUGGCUUUGGUAUGUUGUUAGUAGUUCCAUGGAUUUAGGUGGAGAUGGAACUCUUCAUACACUCUGUUAGGAUUGAACAAUUUAGGUUUGUAAUCAAUUGACUUACUCUAAAUUUUUAAAAGUUGUACAUGAUUCUUUGUCAUGAUUCAUGACUCUAUUAAGGGUUAUUCAUUAUGUGUUCUGCUUUCAAA
Long non-coding RNA from Arachis duranensis, 1205 nucleotides. RefSeq lists it as uncharacterized. The transcript is spliced from 2 exons. NCBI's taxonomy places the organism in Eukaryota, Viridiplantae, Streptophyta, Magnoliopsida, Fabales, Fabaceae. The record is from RefSeq and is a predicted model, not a curated record.